CAGUAGCCGCGGUAAUACGAAGGGUGCAAGCGUUACUCGGAAUUACUGGGCGUAAAGCGUGCGUAGGUGGUUGUUUAAGUCUGCUGUGAAAGCCCUGGGCUCAACCUGGGAAUCGCAGUGGAUACUGGGCGACUAGAGUAAGGUAGAGGAUAGUGGAAUUUCCGGUGUAGCAGUGAAAUGCGUAGAGAUCGGAAGGAACAUCUGUGGCGAAGGCGACUAUCUGGGCCAUUACUGACACUGAGGCACGAAAGCGUGGGGAGCAAACAGGAUUAGAUACCCCCGUAGUCCCUGUCUCUUAUAC
RNAcentral lists this ribosomal RNA (301 nucleotides) under uncultured bacterium. Its description in RNAcentral is "partial 16S ribosomal RNA". It matches the Rfam family "Bacterial small subunit ribosomal RNA", at positions 509 to 807 of the family's 1533-position model. The record is from RNAcentral.